AGGUGGGUUUGAAACAAAGACUAGUACAGUCAGGAACCGAAUAUCAUUUUUUUCUGAGAGUGAGAGCAUGCCCAUGAACGGUGGUGGUCUGAUGCCAUUUUAUUUAUAUUUUGAGCUAUACAACCCUGUAUUGCUUGGCAUAGCACAACGUAAAUGAUUUGAACACACUUUUGGAAGGCCAACCAGAAAUAUCGAGCUUACGUUUAUUCUAUUCAACGCUGAAAUUGGAUUGGGAUCUUGAAGUGAUAUACCGCCGAGAUCUAAACGGGAUCGUCCGCGCUACGUGUGCCGAGAGUUGCGGCGAACAUCAAUGUGGAAAUUCGCUGGUGGCUAGCUUUAGACUAUUUGUAUUAUUACGCCCAGAUCUAUCUGCUGAAAAAGUGAAAGAUGGUGACUUUUUUUUCACGGCUGAAGCAUUAAUACAACUUACAAGAAAGUCUUAACUUAGAUUAUUCAUAGCAUAUGAUUGUUUAUUUUUAGACUGGAGCCCCCCCCCCCCCAAUAAUUGAAUCCACUCAUUUUUUGAUACAUACAGGAUGCCAGAUGACACAUGCAUUUUUUUUACAUGUCAUGUCUCUAACUGUUAAAGUCUAAGACCCACUCACUCUAGAAAAAUGAGUGUUGGUGACAUUGGCAUGCACUGUAUUUGCCAGGCAGAGGAAGCACUCGUGUGAUUUAGACAGAUGGGGGAGGUCGAAUUGAACAAAAUUUGUAGAAUUAAUUUUUGUCCUAGAUCUUCUGGGCCUUACCUUGCUUUGGCUUUGAACUUCCUCGUGAACUGAAACUGAAUUCUGAAAGUAGACUUUGAAUUUUGUAAUUUUCUAUCUUGUGAAUAGUAAUAUAGUUACCAUUUCUUAAAACACAAUGACGGUGUCAAUACGAGGUGUGCAUCUGUUACGAUGGUUAGUUUUGAUUGGGAUGUUCGCUCUGAUGAUAUUGUGGUACUUCCAACGCAACAAGAACCUUCAGCUCGAUUACAUGAAAUCUUUGCAGGAACCGAGCCUUAAGCUGCAGAAUGGAGAGUUUGUUCUCAAUGGGGAGGAGGUCACUAUCCUCUCAGGGAGCAUGCAUUACUUCCGGGUCGUGCCAGAGUACUGGGAGGAUCGCCUCCGAAAGAUGAAGAGUGGUGGACUCAACACUGUUACCACGUAUGUCCCUUGGAAUCUACAUGAACAAGUCAGAGGGGAUUUCGAUUUCUCAGGCAUUCUGAAUGUUGUAGAGUUCUUGAAGAUAGCCCAAAAGGUUGGCCUAUAUGUUAUUUUUAGACCAGGUCCUUACAUUUGUGCUGAAUGGGAACUUGGUGGUCUGCCAAGCUGGUUAUUGGCAGAUGAUGAAAUGAAAGUAAGGACGACCUAUCCCCUGUUUACCGAAGCAGUCACCAAGUACUUUGAUCACCUCAUUCCAAAGGUUGUCCCACUUCAAUACAACAGGGGUGGACCUAUUAUAGCAUUUCAGGUGGAGAAUGAAUAUGGGUCCUAUGGUGACAGCGCGGCAUAUAUGGAGUUUGUUAAAGAGGCUAUGGUGACGAAAGGUGUGACAGAAUUACUAGUUACAUCCGAUAACUCAAAGAAGGCUAUGAAAAAGGGACGAUUGCCAGGUGUUCUGAUGACAGCAAACUUUCAGGACAACGUGGAAAGGCAUUUUGGAGACUUGAAGGCUUUACAGGGUGACAAUCUCCCACUGAUGACCAUGGAGUUCUGGUCGGGCUGGUUUGACCAUUGGGGUGAGAGGCAUCACAUCUACACAGCCGAUGGCAUUGCCGAGCUGACCAAGAGUAUCCUGGUCAAGGGAGCGUCCAUUAACUUCUACAUGUACCACGGCGGGACGAACUUUGGGUUUAUGAACGGAGGCAACAUAGAUAAGGGCAUCUACAAACCCACCAUAACUAGCUAUGAUUAUGAUGCGCCUCUCUCCGAGUCUGGCGAGCCUACAGAGAAAUUUUUCAAGAUCAAAGAAGUCAUCCAGAAGCACACUCCUACGGGAAGAGUUCCCAGUACCUUGCCAGAGCUUCCUGUUGCUAUAGGUAAAGUGGCAUACUCGGAAGUCAAAGUUCAAGAAACCAUGUCACUGGCUGCAUUGCUAGAGAUCAGUGGGAAACCCAUUUAUAAUGAUGACAUACUUGCCAUGGAGAAGCUUCCAAUCAACAACGGGGGUGGACAGAGUUUUGGAUUCCUGCUUUACAGGAGCAGAGUUAAUACCAAACCGACCAAACUGACCUUGUCAAGAUCUCCAAGAGAUAGAGCUCAGGUUUUCUUGAAUGGAGAUGAGGUCGGCGUUUUGAUGAGGAAGACGGAAGAGGAGGAUCGGAGUCUUGAGCUCACUAAUGGAAAAGAUGCCAACAAUGUACUUGACAUUCUGGUUGAGAAUCUUGGGAGAGUCAACUAUGAUAAGGAUAUCCAGACCGAGAAAAAAGGUCUGUUAGGGGAUGUAAUGAUCAAUGACAAAAAGCAAGUAAAAUGGGAGAUGUAUCCGUUGGAGUUUACAAAACACUUCAUGGAAGCUGUUUCAACUUCGAAGAAAUGGAGUGCAUUCGAAGGGCGUGAGAAGCAGCCAGCCCUCUAUAGAGCAACGUUAGAAAUUCAGGAUAGCAAACCCAAAGACACUUUUGUAAAUAUGAAGGGUUGGGAGAAGGGAGUCAUUUUCAUCAACGGUUUCAAUCUUGGUCGUUACUGGAACGUUGGCCCUCAGAAGAAUUAUUAUCUACCAGGACCAUUGCUAAGACAGGGAAAGAAUGAGAUCAUCAUGUUUGAGCUUCAUAAAGCAGACGGGACGAUACGCUUUGAUGAUAAGGCAGACUUAGGUGAAGAACAACAGAUAAACAAUGAGGAUGAUAUAGAACCUAUGCUCUAGCCCCUAAAUUACAAGGGGCCUGUCUUACAAAAAGUUGCAAUUGAUCCGAUCAAUCGCAAUUACGGAAAGCCAGCAAAGUCAAUAUAUAAAAUACAUAUUUGUUCAAAAAAAAUUAUAGAUAUGAAUGUAUAUCCAUAAAUUCAUUGAUUUCUUGACAAUUUGGUGUGUUCUCCUUUGUUUACAAAGGACUUUUUGCGAAUUUCCUGUGGACAAAAUUAUGAAACUGAUGGAUUUCCAUAGAGUUAAGAUUGAUUGGAUCAAUCGUAACUCUUUGUAAGAUAGGGCCCUGAUUAAUUCCAACUCUAUGGCUGUGUGUGGGCGGCCACCUCGAAAGCAACAAUACGUCACCAGGCAAGAUCCUCUGUAAAUAGUCAUAAUAGUAGUUUGGUCUUCAGAGAGUAAAAGUGAAAUAAAUUAGCCGAUCAAAAGAGUCAUUCUUCUUUUUUCUGCUGUCAAACUUUGAAGUUCAAAUAAAGUUAGAUUAAAAAAAAUUAGAUAAAAGUUUAUCUGACACCAUUUUUUUUCUUCCGGACUGCUUGGAAAUUUUUGUGAUCAGAGAUUUGUACGGUAUGCUUAUCUCCUGCAUCAGCAAAUCCACAUUGUUUUCUUGUUAUUCUUUAAAGAUCUCACUGAAUAACUUUUACAUUCACUCAAGCAGUUUUGAGGAUUGUUUUUGAUUAAUUUUGACAAGUUAUUUGUCAUUUUAAAUCUUUGGAUGUACUUUUUAAAUUCUAAUAAAAAAUUUCUGAAAUUAAUCAUUUUGGACGUCCUAUUGUCGGUUGUGGGGUGCCAGGACACAUUUUAUUGACCUAUGAUGUAUAUUUUGUGGUACCAAUUAAUGCGCUCAAGGUCUACUGUUUUCUGCAGUAGUAAUGACUUGGACCUUUGUCAAGUUGCCUUUAAAAACUUCAUUCAUUUUCGUCAUCAUCAAAUGAAGAGGUUUCAAACUCAAAAUGAAGUCAAUCUCCGGCCAUAGGCCCAUGUACAUUAGCAUAGUCAACGGUCCCACGACAUUUGCUCCGGCGACAGUCGCUCUGAUGAAAAAUCUGCACGCUAAGCCAAACAUAAAAACCUAACCUCCAAAACUAAUUAAACCCUAAUCCUUAUCUUCACACUAUUCUGAAUCAAAACUAUAUUACAAUCCUCCACACUAACCCUUUUUUCGACUAGUCCAACCUGUUCAGGUCGGACCAGUAGUUUUUCCAUUUUUAAAUGGUCCAAACCUAAAAUAUACUGGUCCCCAAAAUGUAAAGAAAAGCAAUAAAACAAGACUUUAGUUUAUUUUGCUGUCUUUUAUUGCUCUCAUUGUCCCUCCCCCCCAAAAAAAAAAAAAAUUUUUAAUGAAUAAGUAAAACGAAAUAAAAGUUUUAGAAAAUAUAAAUAGGUAAACAAAUAAAUAAAUAGGUAGAUAUUAAAUAAAAAUAAAAUGAAUGAAUGAAAAUGUAAUAAAAUAAAUAAGUGGGGAUAAAAAUGAAGAAUGAGAAGAAAACAAGUACUAAGUACGUUGCAAUAGGAUCUAGUCUUGAAAUGAGAAUAGGCAGUUAGACGGUACAUGUAAGUGGUUGUAUUAUACGUGGCCAUAUAAUGGUACAUUUAGGAUAUAAUUAUGUGUGUGAUGGUAUAAGUAUAAAACAUUCCCUUCCUAUCACCAUUCUUUUUUGUUGUUCUGUGCACAAUGCAGCUUAAAAAAAAAAAAAGAAUUAGAUCAGGGCCCCGUCUUGCAAAGAGUUAUGAUUGAUCCGAUCAAUCUUAACUAUGGAUGGCCAGCAACGUCAACAUCUAUUAUGCAUGUUUGUUCAAAGUGUUUUCUAGCUGUGAUCUAUAUUCAUGCAUUCAUUGUUUUCUUGAAAAUUCACUGCGCUUCUCUUUGCAUACAGAGGACAUUGUGCAAGUUUUUUUUUGGAAAAAAAUUAUGACACGGAUGGAUUUCCAUAGUUAUGAUUGAUCAGAUCAGUCGUAGCUCUGGAUCAAUCGUAACUCUUUGUAAGACGGGGGCCUGAAGUGCUGCAUAGUUGUUUUUUUCUUUGGAAAGGGGGGAGGGGGAUUAUUAAGGGAACCUUCAACUCACUGUAAUCUGUGUUUGUUUUAUGGAGGUAUUCAUAAAUUUUCCAAUUGGGUAUACCAUGAGUACAUGAACAAUUGGUAAAAAAAUAUAUAUAUUUUCACCCACCUUUACGAAAGCCACAAGUUACAUGUAUAUUAUGUUGUAAUGGUGCAGUCACGUUUCCCCUCCAAGUCGAAAACGACCGUUUUAUGUAUUCGAACCACCUAUAUGUAGCUGGUGCAAAAAUGUUAAAACAGCCGUUUUCGACUUGCCUUUCGGCCACCGUAGGAGAAAUGUCAAUUUUGAUGCACAUUUUCUGCAGCUGUGCCACUUUUCAGACAAAAAGUAGUCUGUAAUUAUCAUCUCAUGUGGCAACCCUGACUUAGAGCAAAAUUUAUAAAUGUGAUUGUGUGAAUUUGGGUAAUAAGACUGUUUUUGUAUAAAGCACACUGGUACUUUUCUGGUCGUUUUGUCGACUGUGUUUGUAUAUGUGUGUUUGUUUACCUUUUCAUACUGAAUAAAAACAUAAUUUAUUUGAUGAUCUUUAAUAAAAGAAAUAGCUUUCAAUAA
RNA transcript from Lytechinus pictus (painted urchin), 5464 nucleotides. It is a transcript of the gene named beta-galactosidase-1-like protein 2, with no coding region annotated. Lineage: Eukaryota; Metazoa; Echinodermata; Echinoidea; Temnopleuroida; Toxopneustidae. The record is from RefSeq and is a predicted model, not a curated record. The transcript has 18 exons.